This 512-nucleotide ribosomal RNA is filed under the name uncultured bacterium. Its description in RNAcentral is "bacterial LSU rRNA". It matches the Rfam family "Bacterial large subunit ribosomal RNA", at positions 601 to 1115 of the family's 2925-position model. The record is from RNAcentral.
GUACCUUUUGCAUCAUGGGCCUGCGAGUUAUCCUAUGUCGCAAGGUUAAGCCGAUAGGUGAAGCCGAAGCGAAAGCGAGUUCAAAUAGAGCGUUGAGUGGCAUGGGGUAGACCCGAAACCUGGCGAUCUAUCCAUGAGCAGGUUGAAGCGCGGGUAAAACCGCGUGGAGGACCGAACCCACCACAGUUGAAAAUGUGGGGGAUGACUUGUGGAUCGGAGUGAAAGGCUAAUCAAGCCAGGAGAUAGCUGGUUCUCCGCGAAAUAUAUUGAGGUAUAGCCUCGGAUGAAUUGCACCGGAGGUAGAGCACUGAAUGGGCUAGGGGUCUUACCGGAUUACCAAACCCAAUCAAACUCCGAAUGCCGGUGACAACUGUCCGGGAGACAGGCUGCGGGUGAUAAGGUCCGUAGCCGAGAGGGAAAGAGCCCAGAUCGACAGCUAAGGUCCCCAAAUCCAGACUAAGUGUAGAAGGAUGUGGGAGCGCUCAGACAGCCAGGAGUUGGCUUAGAAGCAG